This 390-nucleotide ribosomal RNA is filed under the name Salmonella enterica. RNAcentral's name for it is "partial 23S ribosomal RNA". It matches the Rfam family "Bacterial large subunit ribosomal RNA", at positions 802 to 1190 of the family's 2925-position model. The record is from RNAcentral. Lineage: Bacteria; Pseudomonadati; Pseudomonadota; Gammaproteobacteria; Enterobacterales; Enterobacteriaceae.
GGAUGACCUGUGGCUGGGGGUGAAAGGCCAAUCAAACCGGGAGAUAGCUGGUUCUCCCCGAAAGCUAUUUAGGUAGCGCCUCGUGAAUUCAUCUCCGGGGGUAGAGCACUGUUUCGGCCAGGGGGCCAUCCCGGCUUACCAAUCCGAUGCAAACUGCGAAUACCGGAGAAUGUUAUCACGGGAGACACACGGCGGGUGCUAACGUCCGUCGUGAAGAGGGAAACAACCCAGACCGCCAGCUAAGGUCCCAAAGUCAUGGUUAAGUGGGAAACGAUGUGGGAAGGCCCAGACAGCCAGGAUGUUGGCUUAGAAGCAGCCAUCAUUUAAAGAAAGCGUAAUAGCUCACUGGUCGAGUCGGCCUGCGCGGAAGAUGUAACGGGGCUAAACCAU